Molecule: ribosomal RNA, 631 nt
Filed under: uncultured bacterium
Lineage: Bacteria
Description: bacterial SSU rRNA
Rfam family: Bacterial small subunit ribosomal RNA
Source: RNAcentral
GUCGAGCGGUAGAGAGAAGCUUGCUUCUCUUGAGAGCGGCGGACGGGUGAGUAAUGCCUAGGAAUCUGCCUGGUAGUGGGGGAUAACGUUCGGAAACGGACGCUAAUACCGCAUACGUCCUACGGGAGAAAGCAGGGGACCUUCGGGCCUUGCGCUAUCAGAUGAGCCUAGGUCGGAUUAGCUAGUUGGUGGGGUAAUGGCUCACCAAGGCGACGAUCCGUAACUGGUCUGAGAGGAUGAUCAGUCACACUGGAACUGAGACACGGUCCAGACUCCUACGGGAGGCAGCAGUGGGGAAUAUUGGACAAUGGGCGAAAGCCUGAUCCAGCCAUGCCGCGUGUGUGAAGAAGGUCUUCGGAUUGUAAAGCACUUUAAGUUGGGAGGAAGGGCAGUAAAUUAAUACUUUGCUGUUUUGACGUUACCGACAGAAUAAGCACCGGCUAACUCUGUGCCAGCAGCCGCGGUAAUACAGAGGGUGCAAGCGUUAAUCGGAAUUACUGGGCGUAAAGCGCGCGUAGGUGGUUAGUUAAGUUGGAUGUGAAAUCCCCGGGCUCAACCUGGGAACUGCAUUCAAAACUGACUGACUAGAGUAUGGUAGAGGGUGGUGGAAUUUCCUGUGUAGCGGUGAAAU